UGCCAGACUCCUACGGGAGGCAGCAGUGGGGAAUAUUGCACAAUGGGGGAAACCCUGAUGCAGCGACGCCGCGUGAAGGAAGAAGUAUUUCGGUAUGUAAACUUCUAUCAGCAGGGAAGAAAAUGACGGUACCUGACUAAGAAGCCCCGGCUAACUACGUGCCAGCAGCCGCGGUAAUACGUAGGGGGCAAGCGUUAUCCGGAUUUACCGGGUGUAAAGGGAGCGUAGGCGGUUUAGCAAGUCAGAUGUGAAAGCCCGGGGCUCAACCCCGGGACUGCAUUUGGAACUGUGUGGCUGGAGUGUCGGAGAGGCAGGCGGAAUUCCUAGUGUAGCGGUGAAAUGCGUAGAUAUUAGGAGGAACACCAGUGGCGAAGGCGGCCUGCUGGACGAUGACUGACGUUGAGGCGCGAAAGCGUGGGGAGCAAACAGGAUUAGAUACCCGUGUA
This 446-nucleotide ribosomal RNA is filed under the name uncultured bacterium. RNAcentral's name for it is "bacterial SSU rRNA". It matches the Rfam family "Bacterial small subunit ribosomal RNA", at positions 329 to 792 of the family's 1533-position model. The record is from RNAcentral.